GCUAGCUACAGGCUUAACACAUGCAAGUCGAGGGGAAACGACAUCGAAAGCUUGCUUUUGAUGGGCGUCGACCGGCGCACGGGUGAGUAACGCGUAUCCAACCUGCCCACCACUUGGGGAUAACCUUGCGAAAGUAAGACUAAUACCCAAUGAUAUCUCUAGAAGACAUCUGAAAGAGAUUAAAGAUUUAUCGGUGAUGGAUGGGGAUGCGUCUGAUUAGCUUGUUGGCGGGGUAACGGCCCACCAAGGCGACGAUCAGUAGGGGUUCUGAGAGGAAGGUCCCCCACAUUGGAACUGAGACACGGUCCAAACUCCUACGGGAGGCAGCAGUGAGGAAUAUUGGUCAAUGGGCGAGAGCCUGAACCAGCCAAGUAGCGUGCAGGAUGACGGCCCUAUGGGUUGUAAACUGCUUUUAUAAGGGAAUAAAGUGAGUCUCGUGAGACUUUUUGCAUGUACCUUAUGAAUAAGGACCGGCUAAUUCCGUGCCAGCAGCCGCGGUAAUACGGAAGGUCCGGGCGUUAUCCGGAUUUAUUGGGUUUAAAGGGAGCGUAGGCCGGAGAUUAAGCGUGUUGUGAAAUGUAGAUGCUCAACAUCUGAACUGCAGCGCGAGCUGGUUUCCUUGAGUACGCACAAAGUGGGCGGAAUUCGUGGUGUAGCGGUGAAAUGCUUAGAUAUCACGAAGAACUCCGAUUGCGAAGGCAGCUCACUGGAGCGCAACUGACGCUGAAGCUCGAAAGUGCGGGUAUCGAACAGGAUUAGAUACCCUGGUAGUCCGCACGGUAAACGAUGGAUGCCCGCUGUUGGUCUGAAUAGGUCAGCGGCCAAGCGAAAGCAUUAAGCAUCCCACCUGGGGAGUACGCCGGCAACGGUGAAACUCAA
This 879-nucleotide ribosomal RNA is filed under the name uncultured bacterium. RNAcentral describes it as "bacterial SSU rRNA". It matches the Rfam family "Bacterial small subunit ribosomal RNA", at positions 35 to 904 of the family's 1533-position model. The record is from RNAcentral.